RNAcentral lists this ribosomal RNA (482 nucleotides) under uncultured bacterium. Its description in RNAcentral is "partial 16S ribosomal RNA". It matches the Rfam family "Bacterial small subunit ribosomal RNA", at positions 30 to 507 of the family's 1533-position model. The record is from RNAcentral.
AUUGAACGCUGGCGGCAUGCUUUACACAUGCAAGUCGAACGGUAACAGGCCGCAAGGUGCUGACGAGUGGCGAACGGGUGCGUAAUGCAUCGGAACGUGCCCAGUCGUGGGGGAUAACUACUCGAAAGAGUAGCUAAUACCGCAUACGAUCUAUGGAUGAAAGCGGGGGACCGUAAGGCCUCGCGCGAUUGGAGCGGCCGAUGUUAGAUUAGGUAGUUGGUGGGGUAAAGGCUCACCAAGCCAACGAUCUGUAGCUGGUCUGAGAGGACAACCAGCCACACUGGGACUGAGACACGGCCCAGACUCCUACGGGAGGCAGCAGUGGGGAAUUUUGGACAAUGGGCGCAAGCCUGAUCCAGCAAUGCCGCGUGCAGGAAGAAGGCCUUCGGGUUGUAAACUGCUUUUGUAAGGAACGAAACGGCUCUGGUUAAUACCCGGGGCUAAUGACGGUACCGUAAGAAUAAGCACCGGCUAACUACGUG